RNAcentral lists this long non-coding RNA (2020 nucleotides) under Sus scrofa (pig). Its description in RNAcentral is "lncRNA (ENSSSCG00040030401.1)". Lineage: Eukaryota; Metazoa; Chordata; Mammalia; Artiodactyla; Suidae. The record is from RNAcentral.
AUUUUAGGGAUGAUCAGUCUAAUAUGGUGCAGCAGAAGGUAAUAUAUAAAGGGCAGAGAUUGGGGACUUCAGCUGAUCAAGUGAACUGACACUGAUAGUGAAGGUAUACGUUCUGCAGAGUUUCCUUUCCAGCUUUAAUAACUUAGGUCUUGGCUGUGAUGGCAAUCUCCUCUUACUGGCAAUUGAAAGCAAAUGCUUUACAUCUCAGAGCUGUUUAAGAAUGGCAUUCCCACUAUGGCUCAGUGGUUAGCAAACCGGACAAGGAUCCACAAGGAUGCUGGUUCGAUCCCUGGCCUCACCUAGGGAGUUAAGGAUCCGGCAUUGCCGUGAGCUGUGGUGUACAGACGUAGGGCUCAGAUCCCGCGUUGCCGUGGCUGUGACAUAGGCUGGCAGCUGAAGUUUUGAUGCAACCCCCUAUAUGCCAUGGAUGCAGCCCUAAAAAGCAAAAAAAAAAAAAAAAAAAAAGCAUUUAAAUAAAACAAUUUCUACAAAGGGCAAGAUCCAGGGUAUGACCUUGAAAGGGGAUAAACAGGAGGAAAAAAGAGGGAGGGCAGUUAAUGGUGAAAUGUCAAGGUCGAAUAGGCAAGGAGUCAGAUGAGUCAGAUGGGUCAUCCACAUGGAUACUGAAGUCCCUAAGGAAGGGCAAGGGUUGAGGUGGAGGGGAAGGUUAUGGGCCCCCAUUUGUACCCAGGAGGGACUGGAAAGUCAGUCCCAGGAAUCCCAACAUCACUGUAGGGUCGAGCCAGAGGGGCACGGCUGUAUGGCUUGAUCUUGAAAGGAGCAGGGAUCUUGGCAGGAAGGGAGACAGAGACAUCAAGAGGCAGAAACAGUGGAUAAGGAGGCCACGGACUCCACUUCUCCCGCUGAGGGCCCCGAAGGUAGUCGCACAGCACAGCGCUAUGUGGCAAGCCAGCCGCCCCAAAGUCCAGACACCAGGACAACUUUCAAAGGGAACUGGGGAUGCAGCAGAAUCCACUCAUCCCAGACCAAGAGCUCCCCAGAGUGUGAGGGAGAGGAGCCUGGGAGCAGUGGAGGUGGAGGAUGACUGAGGAGGCCAAGGUGCUCGAGGUAAACAGAGUUCGAGGCCCGCUAGGGGUCUGGAAGGAAGAUGAGCAAAUCAGACACGUGACCCUGAAUGCUCUCCUCUGAGGAAUUGUGCUUUGGGGAGAGCUUCUGUGCAAGGUCACACAGGGGCACACAUGGUGCAGUGGGGGUGAUGGGGUGCGGGUCACCGCCCUAGGCCUCGCUCCAAGGAGCAAGGCAGAGCUGUUCCUCCCACUGAGAAGAGCCACCCCUCCCUCCAGGCAAGGAGACCCCAACCUUGAGGCUCCUCAGAGUCAGCUCCAGUUAGGGGAGCAAACCCAGGAGAACGACUAGGCGCUUCCAUUCAGCUGUAGCUGGUUUGCUCUGAAAACAUCCAAAAGCCAACAUGUCAUGCUUCAGCAAGGAUUGAUUUCAUUCCUAAGAUGCUCCUUUUUUAUAUCUAUACCAGAGAUUCAUGCUCCAUCAAAGAUGAUGUUGGCCAUAUUUCUUAUAAGAAUUUUUGGCCAUAUUUCUUAUAAGAAUAAGCCUGGCAUCAUUUUGCGAAGCAAAUAUCCAUGCCCUUUGGCUGCCCUGUUAGAUCAUAAAGUGUCUUUUUUUUUUCCCCUAAUUUCUCUUUCUGCUCUUUCAUUGUUAGUGUAUAGAAAUGCCGUCGAUUUCUAUGUAUUAAUUUUGUAUCCUGGAGUUCCCGUCGUGGCGCAGUGGUUAACGAAUCCGACUAGGAACCAUGAGGUUGCGGGUUCGGUCCCUGCCCUUGCUCAGUGGGUUAACGAUCCGGCGUUGCCGUGAGCUGUGGUGUAGGUUGCAGACGCGGCUCAGAUCCCGCGUUGCUGUGGCUCUGGCAUAGGCCGGUGGCUACAGCUUCGAUUCAACCCCUAGCCUGGGAACCUCCAUAUGCCGCGGGAGCAGCCCAAGAAAUAGCAACAACAACAACAACAACAACAACAACAAAAGACAAAAAAGACAAAAAAAAAAAAAA